CUUAGAAGAACCAUGGAGAGAUAUGUCAGAGGACAGAAGUUUGGAGAAGGCUCAUUCGGAAAAGCCGUUCUUGUUAAAUCCACAGAAGAUGGCAGGCAGUGUGUUAUCAAUGAAAUUAACAUCUCAAGGGUGUCCAAUAAGGAAAGGGAAGAAUCAAACAGAGGUUGCGGUGCUGGCUAACAUGAAGCAUCCAGACAUCGUCCAGUACGGGGUGUCCUUCGAGUGAUGCCUGGACUCUGGGCUGCGUCCUUUGCGAGAUGUGCACACUUAAACACGCG
Molecule: non-coding RNA, 278 nt
Organism: Vicugna pacos (alpaca)
Lineage: Eukaryota; Metazoa; Chordata; Mammalia; Artiodactyla; Camelidae
Source: RefSeq, a predicted model, not a curated record